Cervus elaphus (red deer) is the source of this 150-nucleotide long non-coding RNA. RefSeq lists it as uncharacterized. NCBI's taxonomy places the organism in Eukaryota, Metazoa, Chordata, Mammalia, Artiodactyla, Cervidae. The transcript has 3 exons. The record is from RefSeq and is a predicted model, not a curated record.
ACUCCUACAUUGUUGGUAGGAAUAUAAAUUGGUACAGUCACUAUGGAAAACUGUACGAAGAUUCCUUAAAAAACUAAAAAUACAGUGACCAUAUAAUCCAGCAAUCCCACUCUAGGGCACAUAUCUAGAGAAAACCGGAAUUUUAAAAGA